GAAGUGGCAGUGCGGUGACGCAUGAAGCGGACUAAUACUAAUCGGUCGAGGACUUAACCAAG
Molecule: ribosomal RNA, 62 nt
Filed under: Lactiplantibacillus plantarum
Lineage: Bacteria; Bacillati; Bacillota; Bacilli; Lactobacillales; Lactobacillaceae
Also listed under: 1 other name
Description: partial 23S ribosomal RNA
Source: RNAcentral